Molecule: ribosomal RNA, 570 nt
Filed under: Desulfovibrio intestinalis
Lineage: Bacteria; Pseudomonadati; Thermodesulfobacteriota; Desulfovibrionia; Desulfovibrionales; Desulfovibrionaceae
Description: bacterial SSU rRNA
Rfam family: Bacterial small subunit ribosomal RNA
Source: RNAcentral
AUUGAACGCUGGCGGCGUGCUUAACACAUGCAAGUCGAACGUGAAAGGGGCUUCGGCCCUAAGUAAAGUGGCGCACGGGUGAGUAACACGUGGAUAAUCUGCCCUUAUGAUCGGGAUAACAGUCGGAAACGGCUGCUAAUACCGGAUACGCUCAAAAUGAACUUUUUGAGGAAAGGUGACCUCUGCUUGCAAGUUACUGCAUGAGGAUGAGUCCGCGGCCCAUUAGCUAGUUGGUAGGGUAACGGCCUACCAAGGCAACGAUGGGUAGCCGAUUUGAGAGGAUGAUCGGCCACACUGGGACUGAAACACGGGCCAGACUCCUACGGGAGGCAGCAGUGGGGAAUAUUGCGCAAUGGGCGAAAGCCUGACGCAGCGACGCCGCGUGAGGGAUGAAGGUUUUCGGAUCGUAAACCUCUGUCAGAAGGGAAGAAACCGCACCGUGCUAAUCAGCGGUGAAUUGACGGUACCUUCAAAGGAAGCACCGGCUAACUCCGUGCCAGCAGCCGCGGUAAUACGGAGGGUGCAAGCGUUAAUCGGAAUUACUGGGCGUAAAGCGCACGUAGGCUGCUU